CCUACGGGAGGCAGCAGUAGGGAAUAUUGCUCAAUGGACGAAACUCUGAACCAGCAACGCCGCGUGGAGGAUGAAGGUUUUAUGAUUGUAAACUCUUUUUUUUAUAGAAGUUAAUGACGGUAUCUCUCCAAUAAUCACCGUCUAACUCCGUUCCAGCAGCCGUGGUAAUACGGAGGCUGCAAGCGUUACACGGAGUCACUGGGCGUAAAGCGGGCGCAGGGGGGUUUGUAAGUCAGAUGUGAAAUCCUGUAGUUUAACUUCAAAAUUGCAUUUGAAACUGUGAGUCUAGAGUGCGGGAGAGGUAGGCGGAAUUCGUGGUGUAGCGGUAAAAUGCGUAGAUAUCAAGAAGAACACUGAUUGCGAAGGCGGCCUACUGGAA
This 379-nucleotide ribosomal RNA is filed under the name uncultured bacterium. Its description in RNAcentral is "partial 16S ribosomal RNA". It matches the Rfam family "Bacterial small subunit ribosomal RNA", at positions 338 to 734 of the family's 1533-position model. The record is from RNAcentral.